GUGUAUUACGGUACGUCAGUUGUUGUUCAGAGCGACUACCAAAAAUAACGAACGGGAUUCUGUUUCGGGAGUUUUUAAGCUAAAGAAUCUGACGAGGCCCGCCGCAACGGCGUUCGAUUUCCUGACGAGGGAAAAAAAAAAUGCAUUGUUUUUUUAUUUUAUUUUUAAAAAGUACAACGUAUCACUCCAUGGUAUGUCAUCAAGUUUCGACGCUAUGUGACGCAUUAGGCACCUGUUGGCUAACGAUGCUAAAACGGUCACCAACUGACUUUGGGUGAGAGGUGGUACCCUGGACUGGUCAUCAGCCACUCACCGGGCACAUGGAGAUAAACAAACCAGUCACAUUCACACCUAUGGGCAACUUCAGUGUCUUCAGUGAACCUAAAAUGCAUGUUUGGAAAGGAGGACAAAGCAUGUCUACUGUGCUACCAGAUCACACCAAGGCCGGAGCACCCCGCGCGUGCGUCACUGUGAUGCCGCAAUGGAUGCGCUGAGCUGCUCCUUUAUUCAAGCGGAACAAAGCCGAAGCCUGGCUCUGGAGUGGCAUAUUUGCACCGCGCUGCCUGCUGUCUCAUUGAGCGCUGUACAAAAUCAAUAGGCUCUGACCUUACCAAAGUCAGAGGCCAUGCUGAGGACCCCAUCAGGCAGAGUUACCCCCACCCCUUCAAGUGCCUGCACUACUGACUUAAUGAUUUUGACACGUUCAGUAAAUUUACAUCAGGGCAUUUGUAAACAGCAUACAUGUUAAUAUGAUUUUUAAAUAGUAUUGCAUUUUCGGCACAUGUAAUAGUAAGAUAUUUAAAUGCAAAUGUGAAU
Molecule: long non-coding RNA, 816 nt
Organism: Phyllopteryx taeniolatus (common seadragon)
Lineage: Eukaryota; Metazoa; Chordata; Actinopteri; Syngnathiformes; Syngnathidae
Exons: 4
Source: RefSeq, a predicted model, not a curated record